This 409-nucleotide unclassified non-coding RNA is filed under the name Hevea brasiliensis (rubber tree). Lineage: Eukaryota; Viridiplantae; Streptophyta; Magnoliopsida; Malpighiales; Euphorbiaceae. The record is from RNAcentral.
UGAAAUUAUCAUUAUUGCCUUGAAAAUUUUUGAGCCAAACUAAAUGAAUAUCGAAUUUACAAGUAUUUUGGAUUAGAUUUGUUAAUGUGAUUCAUAUCGUGUUGCCUCUUGGAAAACGAGGGGUUUGUCCCUUAUUGGAAGGCACUAGGUAUGUCCAAAUUUCAUAUUGGCUACUACUAUCCAUCUUUAUUGAUGCUCAAUUGGGAGAUCAUCAUAUCAGUAUGUCAUAUUAAUCGAAUGUACUCCCUCCAUAUCUUUGGAAGAGAGCUUGGCAAACCUUGUGGUGAGAAAAUUCAGGCUGAUCUAGACCUCUUUGCGAGGAAGUAAAAUGAAUCUUGAUUUGUUUUGCUUGCACACCUACACUCAUAAGCACUCAUUCUGGUGCUGCUACUUUGGUUUUAGACCCUGG